AUCAAAACGCGUUUCGCUGUGCGGGCGCUCGCUUGUGUGUCAAAGUUGAACCUUGCGAUAUUUUUGUGUAUUUGUGUUUUUACAAAAUGCCUUUUAUUUCGAAGGACUGGCGAUCGCCAGGUGAAGAGUGGGUUAAAACGCAAGAGGGCUGGGAGAAAAAGAAGGUUUUGGAGUGCACAGCGCAAAGAUAUCCCGCUAUUAACUAUAAUAACCCUGAUGAUAGUCCGCAAAAGUCGUGGUCUGAAGGGGAAGACGGCGAUAAGAAUACAGAUGCGGUUGCAAGAGUUCCUCCACACUGCCAUAUCACAAUAAAGUGCACAAGAGAGAUUGCAGGCUUCAACGGGCUGUCAGAAGCGGUCCGCCGCCUGGACUUCUCGUCAGCCGUCCGUGACGUCAGAAGGUUCAAUUAUAUCUGCGCUCUGUUGGAGCUGUUGCUUGGUGGUCAACGACUGACGCAUCUACCCGGCGCUGCGCAGAAACUGCUGUUGUCUAUGUUGGAGCAGCUCGCUGACCAAGUGGCGACAUCGAAACAGAACCUGAACGCGCUACGAGCGUUGCUGGUAGCGUUGUCAUCGUUACGCGAGUCUGAGCGCCGCGCGUGCUGGGGCCGGCCGCUGGGCUCGCGCGCGCUUUGGGGCCAUCACGACCACGCCAUCGCCCGGAUCAACCGCAUCGCCAGCGAGAUUAUCAUACAAGAGCCGGGGCCAGAAGUAGUACCGAAGCUUCACGAUUUACCUGAAGAAUGCAUUAGAGAGAUACUGUUAAGGAUAGCGGACCACAGGGAUUUAGACUCGGCGUCAUCAGCAUGGAGCGUGAUGGCGUCAGUGUGCAGUGAGCAGCGGAUCUGGCGCGAGCUGGUCAGCUUCCACUUCAGCCAGCAGCAGCUAGACGGCGUGCUCAAGAAUAAAGAGGAAGACAUUGACUGGAAGAAAGUCUUCCACCAGCUUAGGAAGCUGUAUGGACUAAGGGAAGACACCCAGUUUGCAGAGACGCUGUCGCUCUGUCGUCACUGCAAGUGCUUGUUCUGGCGGUCGCUCGGACACCCGUGUAUAGCUGAUCAGUGUCCUGAAUAUCGUGAGCGACUGAAAGAAGCGGGCGGUCCGCUGCCUCCACACCCUGUACCACCUGCGGCAUUCCUCAAGUUCUUCUCGCUCUAAUACUUCCAUACCACGAGGUGGCAACUAUGUAUGACUGUCAUCUCAGCCACUAGGUUGAGGCAACUAUGUAUGACUAUCAUCUGAGCCACUAGAUUGAGGCAAUUAUGUAUGACUAUCAUCUGAGCCACUGGAUUGAGGCCACUAUGUAUGACUAUCAUCUGAGCCAGCAUCUCAUUAUCUGCUUGAACUGGCCUUAUGUUGCAAGUCCAUUUGAGUAGAAUCGUAAGGGACACGAUAUUACGAAGAUGGGCCUUACGAAGAGACGGUAAUAAGUGUCAAAAAAACUUCCAUCUCAGAUUUUCUGAAUCAUUACAAAGAAAGAAAUUCUGAGGCUCUCUCCAUUAUGAAUUCACAUAAAUGGUCAUAAAACCAAUGGCACCUUAUACAAUUCCACAUACAUCGGUCUCGUAAUAUAAGACAGUUUGCAAGGCAUAAGACCGUCUUAAUUAAAAAAGAUGAUUGAUACUGUAUGAAAAAAAAUAUAAAGUAAGAAGCAAAAUGGAUUAUUGCAGGUAUGUAUUGUUUCAAAUCUAGAAUGUUCUACUCGAAACAAAUGCGUGUAAAGUAGGUAUUUGACUAAUAUUCAACUUUAGAACGACUAUUUUAAAUUAAACAGUGAUAUUAACGUUUUGGGAAUCACAAAUGGUUUCGAAAAGUUGCAGCCUGGCAAAUAUGUGUAAAAAGUUCUACUUGGCAACAUUUUUAGCCUCUGCAUUGGUCAACAUAGAGAUUUAAAUCUAUGAGAUUGAUUAUAAACCAGUGUUACCAGCAAAACAACUGUUAUUAUUUAAUUUCUACUCUUUUCGGCCAAACCGUAAACGGCAUGGUUUAAAGAUAUGAAGUACAUGACUAUAUAACAAACGAUGACUUUCGAUUCUAAUAGAAUCUUGGUGACUGAAUAAGAUCUCAGGCAGAUGGCCUAUAUGAAAAACCUACUAUAAUCAUUAUAGGGUAACUAUAACAUAAAUUACUAAUCAAAUGUGUUCUCUUAAAAAUCUAUUGAUUAUAGUUAACAUAAUUUUGACAUAAUUUUGCUUGCUAAAUGUGUCGUUUUUCUUAUCAAACGCAGUAUUGUAAUGUAGACCAAUAAACCAGUUAAAUCUACCAUAAAAAGGUACAUUUUUGUGUAAACCAAAAAUAAUCCAGUUUGAAUAAAAUCUAAUUUAGACGUAAGCAUUUAGUUUCUAAGGUUUGUUUUGUUCACCUAUUUUUGUUUGCGCACUAAUGCUUAAUAUUAUAAUAUUAAUGCUUUAAAAGAACUAUGUGAUAUUUCCAAAAUUUCUAUUAAAAUUUAAGUGUGUUGUAAGCAAUCGGUAUUGUUCUUGAGUGUUGUUAUGUUUCAUUAAUAUUAUUUACUAUUUUAAUUUAUAAAUCACAUGAUAGGAUUUAGUAGAACCAGUACAGUACAUAGCAGACGGAAAUUUCAUGGUUAAUCUAAUAUGCCUACAGCCCACCUUACCAUUGAAAAAUAUGCGAACAGUGGACCUGUGUAACCAAUUAUUAAAUGAUUCGAUUGAACUUUUCUUGGCUGCUAAAUACUUAAAACACACACUCACAACUUGUUUAUUUUUUAUUGGUAAGGUUGUGUAUAUUUGUCACACCAUAAUUACAAGAAACUCCAUUAUCUGUCGGAUUUAAAGGUACAAAUAGACGAUCGAACCUAUGCGGACCGCACCACGAACUCGAUAAUGCGGUGCGGUGCGGUCGUUCCCGCCACACGACCGAUUGCCUCAUAUAACAUGCGUCCGAUUAACAAUACAAGCUAAAAUCGCAUUAUUUGCAGCUACCACCCUUCCUACAACACCAUUACCACGACAAGUAAAAAGGAAAAAUAGCGAUUUCGGUGAGGUGUGUCCUCCACACGACCGUACAUGUCCAGUAUCGGACUCGGCUCGUGGUGCGGCCCGCACGGAUUCGAUUGUCUGUUACCACUAUAAGUUUCAUUCAUUAGAAAUAAGAAAAAAUUUCAUCAUGUUUAACACCUCAGUUCUUAACAUACUUACUACUUUUGUUAACAGUACAUCAACUAAACUCGUAUCAAACAUUUCACUAAUAUGUUCAUUUUUUUUUAAUAGUUGUAAGAUUUCAAGUUCUUUGGCAAAGGGAGCAUGUUGUAAAAUCCACAUAUAAUAACGCAGGCCCUGCAUGUCUCGAAGAAUAUGAUUAAUUUAGGUGUAUGUUGCUGUCAUAGUCAUAGGCUCUUGAAUGCUUGCGUGAAGCAAUGUAUAGAUAAUUGGGUAGUUUCCUAGGUCAAAGAUAAAUUAUGCAAUUCUGAUUACUAAAUAAAGAUAGAUCUAAAUGUAUUCUUUUUUCUAUUUAACUUAUUUAUGAAUUUUAAUAAAGAAAAAAGGAUAAAAAUAAUAGUAAAAAAGUAACUAAUUGAACUAGUUGGAAACUACCCUGUUAUGGUUUUCAGAAGAAAUGUAGGGCCUUUUCUAUUCAAACAAUGAUAAAAAAGCUAUUAAAUUGACUGACAUUAAAGAUUAUAUUGAAACAAGCCCCUAAAUGCAAUCAUAAUUUAAGACUAUUCGUCGCAUAAUUCAGAAAAUUUACUAUAAAAAAAAUGCAGCUAGUUAAGAUAAAAAGCAAUAUUUUAAUACAAAACUAUUGAUAAGAGUUAUUCUUGAAGCUUAUUUCAUAUGAGAACUGUUGUGUAAGAUAUCCUUUUAGGCCUAAAGAGUUUUAGUUGAUUGUUAACUGCUAUCCGUCACAGUAACAAUAGGAAAGGCUGUGGCUACAUUUACCAGUAUCAGAUAUGAGAGAAAUAGUUGGAUUUGCAAGAAUAUUAAUAUAAAUAACUUUGAUAUUCUUAUGAGAGGCCACAGUUUAAAAUAAUAUAAAAAGAGAAGCACUAAAAGCUUACUAUUGAGCAGGCUCUUUCUUUUUAUAUCUAACAGUAUUAAGAUAACUUUUAAAUUAAGGGUAGGCUGAAUAAUUAUAGUUUUACAAUUGUUAGUAGAAUAUCAAAGUUCUGAAGGAGUUCAGAAAGCUAUGAACUGCUUUGCAAUAAUUUUGAAUUUAGAAUUCAAAGUGUAGCCACAGCAAAAAAAUAUUUCUAAAAUUAAUUCAAGUCUGAUGGUUCAUUCUAUGGUCAAAAUGUUCAUUGUAUUGUACUUGUAGUGUAGUUGUUGAUAUUGUGAUAUUUUAAGAUAAAUAUUAUGAAUUGUUUAGUCCCAAGAUGCUAACUUUGACAACUUUUGGAAGAACUGUAGGACUGAAUAUGGGUAUCAUCACAUUUACAAUAUAUUAGUUACAUAACAUAAACAGCCUAUUAUGUCCCACUGUUGGGCACAGGCCUCCCCUCAUACAACCAGAGGGGGUAUAACAUAUUAGUAACAAAAUUUAAUUGAUCUACUUAUGGAUCAAAAUGGAAGGUAGGUAUUUUUUCCUACCAAGGAGAAACAUUCAUAUCUUCCAUUUUGAUUUUGAAAAUCAUAGUAGGUUUUAGAUGGAAUUACAUAAGGUAGACUUGAAGAAUAUUUGUGUAGCUCUAGCAUCUGUCGGUAUUAAAACUAUGAUGAAUUGUGCAUCACAUACACAAUAGGUUCAUAGUUCACAAAGGGAUUGGUUCUUCCCAGAGUUGUAGUUUAGAUGAAAUGCAGCUUACCUACUCACUUUUAAGUCAUUUUUAGUUAAUCUGUGAUGAAUUUUGUUUGCAUUGGAAUUGUUUUCUGACUUGUGUUCUCACUAUUAGUACUUUAUAUGGUAUUUUGAAAUAAAGUUAUUUUGAAUAAGA
Molecule: unclassified non-coding RNA, 4893 nt
Filed under: Pectinophora gossypiella (pink bollworm)
Lineage: Eukaryota; Metazoa; Arthropoda; Insecta; Lepidoptera; Gelechiidae
Description: f-box only protein 25
Source: RNAcentral